Molecule: ribosomal RNA, 253 nt
Filed under: uncultured bacterium
Lineage: Bacteria
Description: partial 16S ribosomal RNA
Rfam family: Bacterial small subunit ribosomal RNA
Source: RNAcentral
GACAGAGGUGGCGACCGUUGUUCGGAAUCACUGGGCAUAAAGCGCGCGUAGGCGGCAUAGUAAGUCGGGUGUGAAAUCCCUCGGCCCAACCGAGGAACUGCGCUCGAAACUACUUUGCUUGAGGGCAGGAGGGGAGCCUGGAAUUCCUGGUGGAGCGGUGAAAUGCGUUGAUAUCAGGAGGAACACCGGCGGCGAAGGCGAGGCUCUGGCCUGUUUCUGACGCUGAGGCGCGAAAGCUAGGGGAGCAAACGGG